GGAGAGAUGGCUGAGCGGCUAAAAGCAAUAGUUUGCUAAACUAUCAUACAUGUAAAAAUUACAUGUAUCGUGGGUUCGAAUCCCAUUCUCUCCA
This 94-nucleotide transfer RNA is filed under the name Cyanidiaceae sp. MX-AZ01. Its description in RNAcentral is "tRNA-Ser". It matches the Rfam family "tRNA". Rfam says of the family: Transfer RNA (tRNA) molecules are approximately 80 nucleotides in length. The record is from RNAcentral. Lineage: Eukaryota; Rhodophyta; Bangiophyceae; Cyanidiales; Cyanidiaceae.